This is a long non-coding RNA of Drosophila ananassae, 3761 nucleotides long. RefSeq lists it as uncharacterized. The transcript is spliced from 2 exons. NCBI's taxonomy places the organism in Eukaryota, Metazoa, Arthropoda, Insecta, Diptera, Drosophilidae. The record is from RefSeq and is a predicted model, not a curated record.
AUAAAUUUUAUCGAGAAAGUCGGUUAUUAUGUUGUACUUGUCGAUGUUUUCCAGUCUUAGGAACUCGUGUAUGUCAUUUUAUUUUAAAAGUGUUGGAAAAUUUCGUCUGGUAGCAUUAUAUUUGGAACAGCUGAGGAUUAUAUGAGACGCAUUAUCGAUAGUAUCGCAGGAUUCACAUCUGUAAAAUUCAAUUUAAUAAUCUAAGUUUUUUUGGUUCUAGGUUACUGUAAUAUUAUACAUUAAGUAUUUUUAUAGUUUCAUAGAUACUAAGUAUUAUAAUUUUAUCGAAGGAUGGUCACAUUAGUAAGCGUGGCGAAACAUGGAAAAUAUAUAAAAAGCACAUGGCUUAAACUAAAAAUAAAUAUGUAUAUCGUUUUAAAAGCUUAUUAAAUGGUGUAAGAAGUAAAAAAUUAUUUGUUAAAAUUAAUCGAGCACUAUCAGAGUUGGAUUGCUCAAUACUGGCACAAGAAUGGCCAAAGUGGAAACGAAGCUUUCUUAUGUACAUGUUGGCUUCUGGAAAAGAUGCGGAUCCAGAGCCUAAGAAGAUAGCCACAUUCUUGUGGUUGGCGGGAUCUAAAUCAACGGGAACAACAAACAAUAUGUUAGGAACUGCAGCAACGUCAGCAGACCCGUACUGAAAGCAUUCGACAGACAUAGUAUUCCAUUUCGAAGUACUACAAUGGAAACCUAUAAAUUCAAUAAUAUUAUACAGGCAGAUGGACAGCCUUUUAUUGAAUUCGAAACGCAACUACGCAAGCAAAUACAGUCAUGCGAUUUUGACUGUACCUGUGGAGAGAAGUACGAAGAAAGGAUGCUAAGGGAUCGUAUCAUUAUUGGCAUAAACGACAAAAGGCUACAACUAAAGCUUCUAGAGUCAAAAAAUAAGAAGCUAGAGGAUGUGCUAAACGAGUGUUGCUCACAAAUGCUAUAAUUGUGGAGCUAUAUUUAACCCAAAUCAUCUGGUCGAGUGUCGCGCCAAGGAGGCGACAUGUCAUGCUUGUGGAAAACUGGGACAUUUUGCGAGAUACUAAGCAGCAGAAAAAACGGAGAACAAACAAUCCUCUGGAUCUUCACUUAAUUGGUUAGAUUCAGCUUUAGAUUAAGUGAAUGCAGACGAAGUGGUUAACGGUGAACGAAAACCUUUCGAAUAAAUGGAGUAAACAUUAAAUUUAAGGUAGAUACUGGAGCAGACGUCAACUGCAUCCCAAUUAAUAUAGCAGAAAAUUUUAAAUUAGAAAUUAAAAAAGAAAAGUUCCUGGUUUUUGAUUAUAACAAUGUCGACGUUAAUAACUAUUGGCUAGGGAAAAUUGUAUUGAUCUAAAUUCAAAAAGUAGCAACAAUAUCGAAUUUUUAGUUGUCGACUCAAACUGUGAACCUUUAAUAGGUCUUAAGUCGUUGAUUGAAUUAAAUCUGAUUAAACAUUUAAAUAUAGAUUCACUCUUUAAAUUACCGACCAAAAAGGAGGAGUUUGUAGAAAAAUUUAAUCUAUUAUUUCAAGGACUUGGCAAACUACCAAAUAAGCAAUCAAUUGUCUUGAGGAGUGAUUCUAAGCCUGUUCUACAUUAUAAAAAGAUUAUAAAAAGAGUUUCCCCAAAGCUUUCUGGGAGGAUUGGAAAAAGAACUGAAUAAUAUGGUACAAGAAAAAAAAUGGAAAACUAAGACUUUGUUUAGACCCCAAGCCACUGAAUAAUGCACUAAAACGGGAACAUUACUUAAUACCAACAAUAGAAGAUUUUAUGGCACAACUAUCCCGUAAGAAAGUUUUUACAGUUCUAGACCUUUCCCAUGGGUUUUGGGUUUUGGCAAAUGAAAUUAGACGAAGCCAGCUCUGACCUAACAACUUUUAUGACUCCCUUUGGUAGAUUCAAAUUCAAUCGAGUCCCUUUUGGAAUUAAUAGUGCUCCUGAAAUGUUUCAACGUAAUAUGGUACAAAUUUUUGGGGACUUACCGAAUGUCAUUAUAUACUUUAAUGACAUAGGAGUUUUAGGCGAAAGUUUUGAAGAACAUGAUGAAACACUUUUGAAAGGUUUAAAACGCGCAAAACUAAAUGGUAUACGUUUCAACCCUGACAAGGUUCAAUAUAGGAGAGCGGAAAUUGAGUUUAUGGGUCACGUCCUCUCCGAAGGCACAAUUAAACCACAAAGAAAGCAUUUGAAAGCAAAUGAAAAAAUUAAAGCUGGAGUGUUACGCAUUCUUGGACUGUAUAAGUAUUUAGCUAAGUUUAUCCCGGACUUGUCCUCAAGAACCGCAAAGCUUAGGAAUCUUACCAGACUUGACACUCCUUUUGAAUGGACGACAGAACAUCAGAACAAACUUAAUGAUUUACUUAAAACUAUAACCAGUUACCCAGUGUCGGCAGUGUAUGAUGAAAUUAAGCCUAUUGUUAUUCAAACAGGUGCUUUAAUAGAUGGUCUUGGAUGUGUUCCUACAGAACGGACACCCAGUUUUGCCACGCGAACUCUUACAAAAACUGAACAAAAAUGGGCUUAAAUAGAAAAAGAGCUACUAGCCAUUGUUGUUGCCUGCGAAAGGUUUUAUUAUUAUAUUCACGGUCGGGAAUUUUUAGUACAAAGUGAUCACAAGCCUUUCGAAGUUCUUCUAAAACGGGACAUCGAUUCAGUAACGAUGAGGCUGCAACGAAUGGUUCUUUAUCUACUGAAAUAUCCUAAUAUGUCCAUUAAAUACACACCAGGGAAAGAUAUGUUAGUAGCUGAUUGUCUUUCACGAGCGCAACUACCGGAUGAAGUAGAAAUUCAAGGCUUAGCCACAGUGGUUCACACAGUGACCCGAGCAGCAUGCUUAUCGGAAGAAAACUACAAUUGUUAAAGCAGAAUUUUAGCAAAUGACGAAAAUUAUCAGAAGAUAGUCGAGUUCGUAGAAAAAGGAUGGGCAUCUUUUCAUAAGUUAAAUAAGUUUUGUCAGGAGUUCUAUAAACAUAAAUCAGAAUUGCACUUUGAACAUAGACUCCUUUUUCGCUUAUGCAAAUUAGUAAUCCCAUCUAAAUUGCAAAAGCAGAUCUUAAAGCAGGUACAUGACCCUCACUUAGGCAUGGAGAAAACAUUAGCUAGAGCACGUAAACUGCAUUAUUGGCCAAAUAUGAAUUCCCAGAUAAAAGAGCUUCUAUUCGCUUGCGAAAUUUGUGAGAAGUUUCGUAGGAAAAAUCCGAAGGAACCCAUGGUAGGAAUGGACAUCUUUCAUUACGGUGGAAAGGAUUUCCUUAGGAGUAGCAACUGGAAAAAAUAUCCUAAAACGUUGCUCACGUUGCUCAGUAAAUGAUUAUCAAUAUAGGAUCCUUGAAUACAACGCUACCCCAGUAGCAAGUUUAGAUCUCGCGCCAUGCGAAUUAUUUUUUGGAAGAAUGUGCAAGACCAAGUUGCCAAUAAAAAAGACUGCACUAUAUAGAAAUAUAAUUAAUAAAGAAAUAAUCUCACAAAAGUUUAUCGAAAAAAAAAAGAAACAAAAAAAAUAUUACAACAUGCACUCAAGAAGCCUGCGUCCAUUUAUUAAAGGUGAUAGGGUUCAGUUUAGAAAAAAAGAAAAUGAAUGGGUUAAAGGAGUAGUCGAAAAAAGAGUAAAUUAAAGGUCUUAUAUCAUAAUAAAAUAAGUGGAAAAAAUGCCUGUGAAGAUAUUGACUAUUUUCAUGAUUGUAUAAGUAUAAACUUAAGUAAAAACAAAGAGAUUUCAAAAAUGAAUAGUAAUUUAAGUCAACCAGAAAAUGAUGUUAGAUUAAGUGAGACUGAAAAUAUUAUUAUUAUUGAAAA